This 211-nucleotide long non-coding RNA is filed under the name Physcomitrium patens. RNAcentral describes it as "long non-coding RNA (PPAT_LNC009468)". Lineage: Eukaryota; Viridiplantae; Streptophyta; Bryopsida; Funariales; Funariaceae. The record is from RNAcentral.
AACUUAGUUAGUUUAAUAAUUUAGAGGUUGUUAGUCAUUACUAUAAGGGUUGACAAAAAAGCCUAUGAGUGCAUCUAUAAUCAUUCACAUGAUUUAGGAGUUGGAAUUAUAAUUUUAUAAAUGAUUUAGGGAAGUUAGCAAUGAUAAUUUUGGAUUUUAUUCCAAAUUUGACAAAUUCAAGCGGCAUGGUGGUUCUUCUAGUUAAUGGGAG